Molecule: ribosomal RNA, 484 nt
Filed under: uncultured bacterium
Lineage: Bacteria
Description: partial 16S ribosomal RNA
Rfam family: Bacterial small subunit ribosomal RNA
Source: RNAcentral
AUUGAACGCUGGCGGCAGGCCUAACACAUGCAAGUCGAGCGGAUGAAUGGAGCUUGCUCCUGGAUUCAGCGGCGGACGGGUGAGUAAUGCCUAGGAAUCUGCCUGGUAGUGGGGGAUAACGUCCGGAAACGGGCGCUAAUACCGCAUACGUCCUGAGGGAGAAAGUUGGGGAUCUUCGGACCUCACGCUAUCAGAUGAGCCUAGGUCGGAUUAGCUAGUUGUUGGGGUAAAGGCCUACCAAGGCGACGAUCCGUAACUGGUCUGAGAGGAUGAUCAGUCACACUGGAACGGUAACGCGACACAGACUCCUCCGGGAGGCAGCAGUGGGGAAUAUUGGACUAGGCGAUGAAGGCUGAUCUAGACAUGCCGAGUGUGUGAAAAAGGUAUUCGGAUAGUAAAGCACUUUAAGUUGGGAGGAAGGACAGUAAGUUAAUACCUUGCUGUCUUGACGUUACCAACAGAAUAAGCACCGGCUAACUUCGUG